Small nuclear RNA from Callithrix jacchus (white-tufted-ear marmoset), 118 nucleotides. Its record names the gene U5. It matches the Rfam family "U5 spliceosomal RNA". Rfam says of the family: U5 RNA is a component of both types of known spliceosome. NCBI's taxonomy places the organism in Eukaryota, Metazoa, Chordata, Mammalia, Primates, Cebidae. The record is from Ensembl.
AUACUCUAGUUUCUCUUCAAAUCAUAUAAAUCUUUCGCCUUUUACUAAAGAUUUCUGUGGAGAGGAACAAUUCUGAGUCUUAAUCCAAUUUUUUUUGAGGCCCUGUUUCUGUGGGGCU